RNAcentral lists this ribosomal RNA (449 nucleotides) under uncultured bacterium. Its description in RNAcentral is "partial 16S ribosomal RNA". It matches the Rfam family "Bacterial small subunit ribosomal RNA", at positions 29 to 523 of the family's 1533-position model. The record is from RNAcentral.
AAUGAACGCUGGCGGCAGGCCUAACACAUGCAAGUCGAACGGAUCCUUCGGGAUUAGUGGCGGACGGGUGAGUAACGCGUGGGAACAUACCCAAAGGUACGGAAUAGCCUCGGGAAACUGGGAGUAAUACCGUAUGUGCUCGAAAGAGGAAAGAUUUAUCGCCUUUGGAUUGGCCCGCGUUGGAUUAGGUAGUUGGGGGGGUAAUGGCCUACCAAACCGACGAUCCAUAGCUGGUUUGAGAGGAUGAUCAGCCACACUGGGACUGAGACACGGCCCAGACUCCUACGGGAGGCAGCAGUGGGGAAUCUUAGACAAUGGGGGAAACCCUGAUCUGGCCAUGCCGCGUGAUCGAUGAAGGCCUUAGGGUUGUAAAGAUCUUUCAGGUGGGAAGAUAAUGACUGUACCACCAGAAGAAGCCCCGGCUAACUCCGUGCCAGCCGCCGCGGUAA